UAGUGACAUGUAAAAAAGCCUGCUAACAUAUUAGCAAGCUUUUUUACAUGUCACUAGAAUCGGAU
RNAcentral lists this small RNA (65 nucleotides) under Lacticaseibacillus paracasei. RNAcentral describes it as "Lactobacillus paracasei traJ-II". Lineage: Bacteria; Bacillati; Bacillota; Bacilli; Lactobacillales; Lactobacillaceae. The record is from RNAcentral.